Molecule: transfer RNA, 70 nt
Filed under: Cricetulus griseus (Chinese hamster)
Lineage: Eukaryota; Metazoa; Chordata; Mammalia; Rodentia; Cricetidae
Rfam family: tRNA (bases 6-66)
About the family: Transfer RNA (tRNA) molecules are approximately 80 nucleotides in length.
Source: Rfam by way of RNAcentral
UGGGCUGUAGCUCAGUGGCAGAGUAUAUGUUUUGCAUGCACAAAGUACUGGAUUCAAUUUCCAGCACCAA